This 468-nucleotide ribosomal RNA is filed under the name uncultured bacterium. Its description in RNAcentral is "partial 16S ribosomal RNA". It matches the Rfam family "Bacterial small subunit ribosomal RNA", at positions 28 to 507 of the family's 1533-position model. The record is from RNAcentral.
GACGAACGCUGGCGGCGUGCUUAACACAUGCAAGUCGAACGGAAAGGCCCUGCUUUUGUGGGGUGCUCGAGUGGCGAACGGGUGAGUAACACGUGAGUAACCUGCCCUUGACUUUGGGAUAACUUCAGGAAACUGGGGCUAAUACCGGAUAGGAGCUCCUGCUGCACGGUGGGGGUUGGAAAGUUUCGGCGGUUGGGGAUGGACUCGCGGCUUAUCAGCUUGUUGGUGGGGUAGUGGCUUACCAAGGCUUUGACGGGUAGCCGGACUGAGAGGGUGACCGGCCACAUUGGGACUGAGAUACGGCCCAGACUCCUACGGGAGGCAGCAGUGGGGAAUAUUGCACAAUGGGCGGAAGCCGGAUGCAGCAACGCCGCGUGCGGGAUGACGGCCUUCGGGGUGUAAACCGCGUUCGCCUGUGACGAAGCGUGAGUGACGGUAAUGGGUAAAGAAGCACCGGCUAACUACGUG